ACUCGUAGACUCCUACGGGAGGCAGCAGUGAGGAAUAUUGGUCAAUGGAGGGAACUCUGAACCAGCCAUCCCGCGUGUAGGAAGACGGCCUUAUGGGUUGUAAACUACUUUUAUACAGGAAGAAAACGUACCCUCGUGAGGGUGCCUGACGGUACUGUAGGAAUAAGCACCGGCUAACUCCGUGCCAGCAGCCGCGGUAAUACGGAGGGUGCGAGCGUUAUCCGGAUUUAUUGGGUUUAAAGGGUCCGUAGGCGGAUUAAUAAGUCAGUGGUGAAAUCCCAUCGCUUAACGAUGGAACUGCCAUUGAUACUGUUAGUCUUGAAUGAGGGUGCAGUGGUUGGAAUGUGUAGUGUAGCGGUGAAAUGCAUAGAUAUUACACAGAACACCGAUUGCGAAGGCAGAUCACUAACCCUAAAUUGACGCUGAGGGACGAAAGCGUGGGGAGCGAACAGGAUUAGAUACCCUGGUAG
RNAcentral lists this ribosomal RNA (470 nucleotides) under uncultured bacterium. RNAcentral's name for it is "bacterial SSU rRNA". It matches the Rfam family "Bacterial small subunit ribosomal RNA", at positions 327 to 793 of the family's 1533-position model. The record is from RNAcentral.